UGAGCUUUUCUGUAUCCGGUUUGCCUCAGUCGAGAGUGAGUGUCAAUUUUCACUUUUGUACUUUUUACCUCAGUUGUUUGGAUCUUAUUAUGUGAUUUUUGCGUAUAGUAGCACUGAUUGGUCUCUUUUAUGUGUGAUUGUGGCAAUUGUGUCUCUAGUAGAUCAAACCUUAUGAUUACCUGCUUGCUUUAUUUUGUUCUGCAUAUGCUUUUGCAUUGUUUUGCUUAAUCCUUUUCAGGAGUUUCUAGUGCAGUUAUUGUAGAUUUAUUGCUUAGGUCAUUGGAUGAUAUUGAACUUAGUGAUAUUGCCAUAUGACAUUAACAGCAUGUUAUGGAAGUUUUCGAUAAUCAAUAUAAAACUUCUCGCCAGUUUAGAGACGUUUUAUACUCCUGAUUUAAAUUUUCCUUGGAGAUAUAAUGAUUUGUAUGUCCUUUGUAGAUUUGAUAUGCACCUUCUACUAAUCAGAAAAUGUUAUAUAAAAGAGAAUCAUGGUUGUUGCUUGAUGACAGUUUUUUUAAGGUUUGCAAUCACACUAAGGGUAUUCAGGCAGUAUGAUCUGUAUAGACAAAAGCAGUCAAGCGUUCUAGUGUACUGGUUGCCUCAAUGUAACUUGGAGCUGAGCUGUGUCUAGUAUUGUAAAGUGUUUGUUCUGAAACUCGUUUAAUGUGAUGUCUUGUUUGUGAUUAAUUCAACGCUGUUGAUGCUGUCAAAUU
RNAcentral lists this long non-coding RNA (713 nucleotides) under Capsella rubella. RNAcentral's name for it is "long non-coding RNA (CRUB_LNC003240)". The record is from RNAcentral. Lineage: Eukaryota; Viridiplantae; Streptophyta; Magnoliopsida; Brassicales; Brassicaceae.